AGUUGUUUACCUCCAGCCUUUGUCUUUCGUUAAUUUAAAACCAAUCCACAUGGUCUAGGUAUCCGUAAGCAUUUGCAUCACUGCCAACCUUACUGGAUGACGACAGGGCGGAAAGGCUUGUCCAUGUCAGUGGAUUUUCAGCGACAAAGAUGAUGUUUCCGAGGUUCAUUCGUCGGUCCAAGAACUUGUGCUGAGAAGACACCGAUGUCUGAUAUGUCAACCGUUCCCUCAGACGCAGGCUGUUCUUGGAUCCAGUAGAAGCCACAGUCAUGUACUCCGAGUGGAGGUCUCUGCACCUGGUGGUCCAGAACGACCAGGGCAAUGUGAGCGUCCUUCACUCCUACCCGGCUCCGGUGGGACGGGAUGUGGCCAACGCCGUGGUCCGGCCCCUGGGAGCCAGCCUGGGGGGCCCCACGUCAGAGAGCUUUCUGAAGACAGAUAAAGAGGUGAAAUGGACUAUGGAGGUGCUGUGCUACGGCCUGACCCUGCCUCUGGACGGCGACACGGUGAAGCUCUGCGUGGACGUCUACACAGACUGGCUCAUGGCCCUGGUGUCCCCGCGAGACUCCAUACCUCAGCCCAUCAUCAAAGAGCCCAACCUCUACGUCCAGACCAUUCUCAAGCACCUGCACAACCUCUUCUUGCCAAGGCCAGAGCACUACAGCCCGAUGCACUUCCGCCUGUGCCAGCAGGUGCUGUGUGCAGUACAGAAGCUGGCUCGUGACUCCUCCUCCAUGGUGCGCGAGACCUGGGAAGUGUUGCUCCUCUUCCUGCUACGCAUCAACGACAGCCUGCUUGCACCGCCCACCGUAGGAGGCGGCAUUGCAGAGAAGCUGGCUGAGAAGCUGAUCAGCGUGCUGUUUGAGGUGUGGUUCCUGGCCUGCACACGCUGCUUCCCCACGCCGCCCUACUGGAAGACGGCCAGGGAGAUGCUGGCCAACUGGAGGCACCAUCCGCCCGUGGUGGAGCAGUGGAGCAAAGUCAUCGCCGCCCUCACCUCCAGAUUAUUGCGGUUCACGUACGGCCCCUCGUUCCCGCCGUUCAAGGUCCCAGAGGAGGACGCCAACCUCAUCCCCUCGGAGACGGACAACGACUGCGUGGCCCAGACAUGGUUUCGUUUUCUGCACAUGCUGAGCAACCCGGUGGACCUGAGCAACCCGGUGAUCGUGAGCUCCACGCCAAAGUUCCAGGAGCAGCUCCUUGGGGUGAGCGGGGUGCCCCAGGAGGUGGUGCAGCACCCCUGUCUCAAGCAGCUGCCCCAGAUCUUCUUCCGCGCCAUGAGGGGCAUCAGCUGCCUGGUGGACGCCUUCCUAGGUGUUGCGGUCUUUAAGACACUCAAGCUCCAUGAAAAGCUGCCUUCCUAUGGGUUACAUGAGCUUUCUUCCACAGGAGCCACCAUGUCUCGGGGCUAUAUACGGGACAGACUGCCCUCUUUAGGUGUUGCGGUGUCUAGGAACAAUUUUCGAGACAGGCUGCCAUCUUAUGGUAUAUCCCGCCCCCGUUCAGACAGUGCCCCUCCCACUCCUGUGAACAGGCUAAGCAUGCCUCCGGCCCCAACAACCACGAACACAACACCACCACACAGCCGCCGGCACCGCCCAACGGCCGUUACCAAGACAACCAGCAAGGCCUCAACGACGGGACAGUCCAAGGUGUCGCAUCAGACCUCCUCCUCGUCAUCUCCUCUGUCCAGCCCCAACCAAACAAGCUCUGAACCGCGACCCCUGCCCGCACCUACACGGCCUAAGGUCAACAGUGUCCUCAACCUGUUUGGCCAGUGGCUGUUUGACGCUGCGCUGGUCCACUGCAAACUCCACUCAAGCCUGAGUAGGGACAGCAGCAUGACUGCCACAUAUUUCCAAAUUCUUCUUUCUUAUAAAUCUUCCUUAGCCACUCAGGCAGGGGUUGAGCUGAGGAGGAAGGGCUCUCAGAUGUCCACGGACACCAUGGUCUCCAACCCCAUGUUUGAUGCCAACGAGUUCCCCGACAACUACGAGUCCGGCAGGGCCGAGGCGUGUGGCACCCUCUGCCGCAUCUUCUGCAGCAAGAAAACCGGAGAGGAGAUUCUGCCCGUCUACUUGUCCAGGUUCUACAUGGUUCUGAUCCAGGGCCUCCAGAUAUCGGACUACAUCUGCCGGCCGGUCCUGGCUAGCAUCAUCCUCAACUCGUCUGCUCUGUUCUGCUCGGACCUGAAAGGCAUCAACGUGGUGGUGCCAUACUUCAUCUCGGCUCUGGAGAACAUCCUGCCUGACCGGGAGUUGUCGAAGUUUAAAUCGUAUGUGAACCCCACGGAGCUGCGACGAGCCUCCAUCCACAUCCUGCUGUCCAUGCUGCCCCUGCCACACCACUUCGGCAACGUCAAAUCAGAGGUCCUUCUGGAAGGGAAAUUCAGUAAUGAUGACUCACUCCACGACAAGGCAGUCACCUUCCUGUCCCUCAAACUGCGAUUGGUCAAUAUUUUGAUUGGCGCGCUGCAGACAGAGACCGACCCAACCAACACACAAAUGAUUCUUGGGGCCAUGCUGAAUAUUGUGCAAGAUUCAGCUCUGCUAGAGUCAAUCGGUGCCCAAGCUGAAGUGGUCAGUUUGGAUGGCAGUCACUCCCUGGCUAAGAGCCACAGCAGAAACAACAGCGGCAUCAGCACUGCCAGCGCAGGCAGCUCAGAGGCCACCACGCCCGACAGCGAAAGACCCGCACAGGCUCUGCUCCGAGACUACGCUCUCCACACAGAUACAGCCAGCGGCCUCCUCAUCCGCAGCAUCCACCUGGUCACCCAGCGGCUCAACUCCCAGUGGCGGCCCGACAUGAGCAUCUCGCUGGCGGCCCUCGAGCUCCUCGCUGGCCUGGCCAAGGUGCGGGCGAGUGUGGAGUCGUCGGACAGGAAACGCGCGGUGAGCUCUGUCUGCAGCUACAUCGUGUACCAGUGCAGUCGCCCGGCGCCGCUGCACUCCCGAGACCUCCACUCCAUGAUCGUGGCCGCCUUCCAGUGCCUGUGCGUCUGGCUCACCGAGCACCCGGACAUGCUCAACGAGAAGGACUGCCUGAUUGAGGUGCUUGAGAUCGUAGAGCUGGGCAUUUCUGGGAGCAAGUCCAAGACGGGCGAACAGGAAGUGAGGUACAAGGCUGACAAGGAGCACAACCCCGCCUCCAUGAGAGUGAAGGAUGCAGCUGAGGCCACCCUGUCAUGCAUCAUGCAGGUGCUGGGGGCCUUCCCCUCCCCCAGUGGGCCAGCGUCCCCCUGCAGUCUGCUGAACGAGGAGACGCUGAUCAAGUACUCGCGCCUCACCUCCACCAGCCACAGCAACUUCCGCUACUUUGUCCUGGACAACUCAGUCAUCCUGGCCAUGCUGGAGCAGCCGCUGGGCAACGAGCAGACAGACCCGUGUCCUUCCAUCACCAUGCUGAUCCGUGGUAUGUCCGGUCGCCACGCCUGGACCAUGCAGCUCUUCCAUCAACCGCGAGGAGCCAGGGCCAGUCAAAAGCAGGUGUUCGUCCCCGAGGCUCGGCCCACACCAAAGAACGACGUGGGCAUCCGCUUCAACGUCAAGCACAGGCCCUUCCCCGAGGAGGUGGACAAGAUCCCCUUCGUCAAGGCUGACCUCAGCAUCCCAGACCUGCACGACAUCGUGGACAAGGAGGCUGGGUGCUCCAGGAGGCGGAGCUCCACGCCACGGCACACAGAUCCUGUUCUGGAGCUGCAGCAUGAGCGUCUGCGUGGGGUGAUGGGGAAGCAGAUGGAGUACGAGUCGGCGCUGGAGCAGUACAGCGAGCAGCUCUGGAGGAAGCGCAGCUUCCCCGACCCCGACUGCAAGCCACCGCCCCCCUCCCAGGAGUUCCAGACUGCCCGCCUCUUCCUCUCCCACUUCGGCUUCCUCUCUCUGGAGGCACUCAAGGAGCCGGGAAACAGCCGGCUGCCUCCGCACCUCAUCGCCCUGGACUCCUCCCUGCCCGGCUUCUUUGAUGACGUCGGUUACCUUGACCUGUUGCCGGGCCGACCAUGUGACACUGUGUUCAUCUUCUACAUGAAGGCGGGCCAGAAGAGCAGUCAGGAGAUUCUGAGGAACGUGGAGUCAUCGGCUAACGUGCAGAGGCACUUCCUGGAGCUACUGAUGUCCCUGGGCUGGCCGGUGGAAGUGGGCCAGCACCCCGGCUGGACAGGCAGCGUCUACACCAGCUGGACCAUCAACACCACCGCAAACGGCACUGACCACAGCUUUACCGAUGAGUCCGACUCGCUGGGAGACACGGGCGGGGGCGCGUUCAACGGCGAGAGGCGGGUGCUCUACUACGCCGACGCGCUGACCGAGAUCGCCUUCGUGGUGCCAUGCCUGAGCGACUCGUCCGAGGAGUCAUCGGAGAACAGCUUCCCCACAGUGGACUCCGACUCCCAGUUGGAGCUCCUGCCCACCCUGCUGAAGCAGCCAAACCAACUCACGCUGGAGCUCUUCCCCAACCACUCCGACAACAUGGGACCCACACAGAGGAGUCCUACAGUGAAGAGUAAAAAGACUCUCUCAGGCAGAUCCAUUCCUACUCUGGGGCCCGACACUAAAGUGCUUGUGGUUUGGGUGGAGCGCUUCGACGACAUAGAGAACUUCCCUCUGGGCGACCUACUGGCGGAGACUAGCACAGGUGUGGAGACGGCCGUCAACAGCAGCACUUCCUGCAGGACCACGUUCUCAGAGAAAGAUGUGCCUGUGAUCUUCAUCCACCCACUGAAGACGGGACUGUUCCGCAUCAAACUACAUGGGGCCAUGGGCAAGUUCAGCAUGGUUAUUCCUCUGGUGGACGGCAUGGUGGUCAGCCGACGCUCAUUAGGGUUCCUGGUGCGUCAGACGGUGAUAAACGCCUGCAGGCGUAAGCGUCUGGAGAGCGACUCAUACAGUCCGCCCCACGUGCGCCGCAAGCAGAAGAUCGCCGACAUUGUCAACCGCUACCGCAACAAACAGCUGGAGCCCGAGUUCUACACCUCGCUCUUCCAGGAGCCCUAUGCAAGUAAGUGAGAGCGGGAACGUGCUGAAGUUGUUGCUAUGCUGCGCUAUGCGCUGCACUUCAAGGCUACAGCUGCCGAGCAGGACAUACCUGAUGCUCAAGUGGUGGAGAGAGAGAGCAGGCCACGUCUCCAUGGUUACCGAUGCCUAACCUGUUUUCAUCGGUGGGAAAAUAUAUUGGCAUUGUGGGUUGUGAACAGCGAUGCUGGUGUUUCGACUCAGUGCUGCUGUAGGCUACAUUAGUGGCUUACCAUGAGAACGUGUGGAGGGGGUUCCUUUUUCCCCCUCGUCAUCUUUGAGAAAACAGUAGCCAAUUGUCUCGCCACUCCGGGCUUCAGGGACAGAAAACAGAACAGGCUCAUUGUUCAGUGGGUUGUUGCCAUGGAAACGCAUCCCUGAGAGAUGAAAACCAAUCCGCCAUCCGAGCUUAUGUUUUUCU
Molecule: RNA transcript, 5430 nt
Organism: Alosa sapidissima (American shad)
Lineage: Eukaryota; Metazoa; Chordata; Actinopteri; Clupeiformes; Clupeidae
Gene: ralgapb
Gene name: Ral GTPase activating protein non-catalytic subunit beta
Exons: 37
Source: RefSeq, a predicted model, not a curated record